CACUACGUGGUCUCCGCUACAUAGAUCAAACUCUAUCAUAAUAUUCUAUCCAAGACCAUUGUUUUUAACACACACAUGUACAUCAAUAUUUCACACUGAUAUUUCCUGUGACAUUUAGUGGUCCACAAGAAAAAAAGUUAAUAGUAGCAUGAUUCUCCAAACAACGCUAAUCAGUAGAUCGAUGUUACAAAAAGAGUCCACCAAAGUUGUCCUAAUUUAUCCAGAAUUAGAAAAAAAGUGCACUGUCAAAUUAAAGUUUGAAAACCAAAAUGUAAGAGAAAAGAAUUACAUAUAUGGUAAGAAAACUCUAAGGCUUUAUAGUUAUAAGUUAUAACCACCCCCUCACUGUACUCAAUAAACCUAUCCCUCACGUGUAACACCCAAGUGAAAAUCAUAAAGGAAUAAGGCAAUAAAACUAUGCAGAGAAUUAAUGAAUUCAAAAUAAUCCACAAUCCAAGAGUUCAUCAAAAUAAACCUAAUUGCUUUAUGUUGCACAAUCCAACCAAUCAUCGAGCAAAAUGUUCACGACAAUCAUCUAGGAAUAUUCCAUAUGACGUCUACAAGAAACUUAUGAAGAAACCCAAAAAAAUAAAAUCGUAAUAUAUACAAAGAAACAUGACAAAUUAAUAGUCAUAGUAGAGAUCACCCGAUGAAGUACAACAACAACAAUAACUAAUUGCAGCCUCUUGUGUCAUUUAGGCCCCCCUUUUGCCAAGUUCUUGCACCAGUUGCAGAUUCUGUGAGGAUACCCAUAUGGGAGAGGUGAUUUUUAGUUUCAUAACCUCUCUCCCCUGAAACACCAAGCAGAAUGUCUACGACGCCUACAUGGAACUCACAAAGAAAUCGAGAAAACAUGACCUUAAUAUAUACAAAGAAACAUGAAAAACUAAUAAUAGUCAUAGUAGAGAUCACCAGAUGAAAGUACAGCAACAACCAAUUUCAGACUCUUGUGCUCAAUUAGGCUCCCCUUAUGCCAACCAAGUUCUUGCACCAAUUGCAGAUUCGCUGAGGGAUACCCAUAUGGGAGAGAAGAUUUUUAAUUUCAUCUUAUAUAUCACAUAUGACAAGAAUAAAAAUGAAAAAAGAAAAAAGAAAUUAUAACAAAGGAAAUGGCAAAUCAACAAAAUUAAAAAAUUCCUUAUCCUCGGGAUAGAGAUGUUCCCUAAAAUCCGGAAUGGUUUCUUGUAUGCCUCCAACUAAAACAUGACGCACCAUUAGAGGACAAAUAUCCCAAAUACCAAAACAAAUAGACCAUAUGUGACCAAAAAAUAGAAUGUUCUUUCCCAAAGCUAUAGACAGAAAGAAUGUGAACCUUGACUGCAGAUAUAAUCAGGUUCCAUAGGUUAUCUCCUGUGUAAUAUCCAAACACAGAGACUAAGGACAUGACAAAAGUAGAUGUUGCGUAUCAAAAUCAAACAAAGAUCGAAAGGAGAAGAGUAUUGAUUUUGUGUAGCUUAAUCGAGAUUGGAAGAGAAUUGUGCAGCAAAAGCUUCUAAUUCUGAGAAUUGUGCUAAUUCCAAUUUUAAUUUACCCGCUACUUGUUUCAUGGCUUUUAUUUGAUCCGCCGAUCCAACUCUGGAAUCGGAAAUACCCACAUUAAUUACAGGUCUGAUCCCAGCAUUGAAUAAAUCGGCAUAUAAGAAUAUUUGACCAUCUGUAAUAGAAAUGACAUUAGUAGGAAUAUAAGUUGAAACAUCUCCGGAUUGGGUCUCAACUAUUGGUAAAGCAGUCAUACUUCCUUCACCUAACUAAGAACUUAGUAGAGAUGACCAAACUAGAGUGUAGCAGCAGAGAGAGUACAUAGCCCACCAAACUAGAGUGUAGCAACAGAGAGAGUACAUAGCCCACAAAGUAUGAGGAUUCAUAGGGAACAAAUUCCGCCCAACUCAAGAGAUCAUGUAAUGAUAAUUUUGGUUUCAUCCUAAUAGAAAGUCUUUGGCCACUGCAACAGAGAGGAUAUCUUUUAGGAGUAUGUAUCAUAAUCAUCUUAAAUCACAAAUAAAAACCAUAACAGAAGAAUAUAGAAAACCUAUCCAGAAAAAGUUAAGUUCUCCCCAUCCAACCAACCAUCAUAACAAACAAAACAUCUUAUAAAAAAUUCCUCAACUUGGAAGUGGAAAAGUAAUCCCAUAAAUCUUGUAUGUUAAGCCAGACUAUAACUCAGUUCCUAGUAUAGAAACGCACAAAAGCUUCACUGCCCGAAGAACUGCAAAAACUUAGACACAAGCAUGUAAGUAAAAAAAAACGCAGAUCCUCAAAAGAAGAUCUCCAUGCCUACACUUUGAGAACAGCAAUCAACACAAGAAAACAAGAACAAAAAAACUGAAAUCAAAGCACAGCAAGAAAUGUGAAAUUAAUGGCAUCUACUAACUGAGAAAAGGUAUCAAUACAAAAAUCCCUAACAACCUCGUUCAUAGCAGCCGGUCCAAGAAAUCAAGAACAACAAAACCUGAAAUCAAGCCUUCGUAGAGCAAUUAACUCGCCAACUCAUCAGGUAAUCAAGAAAAGAGACAAAGUAUGGCACAAGAACGAGAACAAGCAAACUAUGGAAUCAAGAAAUCAAAACCAUACCCUCUCCUGCAACCACCAAAGGCUCCAAGGAGGAGAAAAACAGGUUCACUAUUCAAUGAAGAAAUCUGAAACUAUUUCUCGUUCUUAGGUUAUCUCCUGUGUAACAUCCAAACACAAGAGACUAAGGAUUUGACAAAAGUAGAUGUUGCGUAUCAAAAUCAAACAAAGAUUGAAAUGAGAAGAGUUUUAGUAGAGAUGGCCAAACUAGAGUGUAGCAACAGAGAGAGUACAUAGCCCACAAAAUUCCAUUCAACUCGAGGGAUCAUGUAAUGAUAAUUUUGGUUUCAUCCUAAUAGAUAAGUCUUUGGGCCACUGCAACAGAGAGGAUAUAUUUUUAGGAGUAUGUAUCAUAAUCAUCUUAAAUCACAAAUAAAAACAUCAUAACAUAUGAUUAUAGAAAACCCAUCCAGAAAAGUUAAGUUCUCCCCAACCAACCAAUCAUCAUAACAAACAACAGAUCUUGUAAAAAAUUCUUUAACAUGGAAGGGGAAAAGUAUCCCAUAAUCUUGUUUGUUAAGCCAGACUAUAACUCAGUUCCUAGUAUAGAAACGCACAAAAGCUUAUAGAAAACAGAAACCACCAGCAUGUAAGUAAAAAAAUCCCUAGGAUGAAUGAGAAAGUGUGAAAAUCUAAGCAAGUGUCUUUGUCACCAAGUUAAGUAGUUCACACCGCAGAAGAACUCAUCAUCUCCAAUAUCUCCAAAUUCAGACUGCAAACACUCAACACCCCGCAGAAGAACUCAUCUCCAAUAUCUCCAAAUUCAGACUGCAAACACUCAACACCAAAUGAAUCAACGGCAAAUGAUACAUUUACUCAUAUAUUUUACAGUGUCAUGUCCAUUGUAUCAAGAUUCGGAGAAAAAAUUUGAUUUAUCUACGGGAGAAAAAAUUUGAUUUACUUAUAUAUCAAGAACUCUUAACUCACUGCAUAACGGGAGAAAAAUAAUUGUUGUCUCAAUUAAAACAAAAAUUGAAAUGUUAAGUAUCUUAUUAGUAGAGAUGACCAAAUUAAAGCAUACAACACAGCCUGCAGAACAUGCUGGUUCUUUGGAACAGAUGCCUAUCCAAUUUGCAGGAUCUUGUCCUCAUCUGAAAAAUUAUAAUUAAGCUUCCACUUAAAACCAGGCGAUAUUGAUUUAGGAGUACAAGUCAUAAAUCACAACUAACAAUCAAAACAUAAACAAUAAAAGAAUAUCGUCACUCCCUUGCCAAUGUGUCCCCAACAAACAGAUUGUCAAAGCAAAUAACACCAACCAAGAUGUCCAUUUCUCUUUAGAACUACCUUUUUUGAGUUCUCUAAUUCUCUUUCCACAAAAGUAACAGCUGCUUGCAUCUUCUCGUAGAUUUCAAUAUCACUAUUCACUAGUCUUUCGCACUUUCAACCAAUUUUUCUGAUCAUCAGACCGCUUGAGGAAGAACACCAUUUGAAGGUGUUAAUCCAAGUAGUCCACAAAGCAAAGUCUGAAAUGUUCUAUUCAUAACAAAAAGUUAGGUAUGAUUAUAUUAGUGAUGAUGAGUUUCAUAAUUGGUAUAUAACGAUAGAUACCAUGAAUCGGAGUAAGAAUAUGUCAUAAUGAUAUGCAGAAGGUUUCUUGAGAUUGAAUUUUUUUUGUUGUGCCAUCCCAGAAGCAACACUAUGAUCAAAGAAGUAAAGUCCUGCUACUAUCAACGCAGGAAUAAAAGCAGAAAAAAACCUAUGCUGGAGAAACCUUCCCCAUGUCAUGUGUCAUGUGUUACAAUCUAUUAUUAGUUGAUUUAGUCAUUUUUGAAAGAAAAACCAAACUAGGCUUUAUUUCAACGUGAAUUACUUUGAUAACUGUCCAAUGGUGUAAAGAUGUAGGGGACAUUUUUAACCCAAUCAAAAAGGCUCAUGUAACAAUAAAAGGCUCACCAGAAAUGUGCAAACUUUUUUACUGUCAAAUUAUAGACCAAAAACCAAAAUUUAUAUCAUACACUUUUGUGGGAAAAAAGUAGUAUUUACGGUAAUAACCUCCAAGUGAAAAUCAUAAAAGAGUAAAUCAGGAAGAGGUGCAAUAAAAAUUGAAACAAAAUAAACCUGGGGACUGAUUCUACACAAUGUUAUUGUUUCAAAACACAACUCUGCAGAAGAAGAAAAAAAGAGUCAUUUCAGUUGAUAUGUAUGGCGAUGAAUACCAGAAGCGAAUACAACACAUGAAGACCGAACAACUGAAAAUAAAACAAACUACGUGUGUUCACAAAAUUACAUUUCCUGCAACACCAGAGAAAAUAAUAAAUUAAGAAAAAUGAUUUCAACAGCGAGAAAGAAUUGUUGUAAACCAGACAAUUUUUGAGAAAAUAAUAAAUUAAGAAAAAUGAUUUCAACAGCGAGAAAGAAUUGUUGUAAACCAGACAAUUUUUAAAGAAAUCAUCAAAUCAAAACUCAGAGGCUCGACUAUAUUGAAAGAUAGUUAUUAUUUAACAAUAGUUGAAAACUAGAAGGAGUUUAAAAGAAAUCACCAAAACAAACUCAGAAGCUCCACUCUAUAAUGAAAGAUAGAGAUUAUUUUGGCAAACCACUGCAGAAAAACAAGUUCACAAUUCGAUUUGUAUGUAAUGUGAUCAAAGCCAGAAAAUAAAAAUGAUAUA
RNAcentral lists this long non-coding RNA (5177 nucleotides) under Lathyrus oleraceus (garden pea). RNAcentral describes it as "Pisum sativum (pea) long non-coding RNA (PSAT_LNC008386)". The record is from RNAcentral. Lineage: Eukaryota; Viridiplantae; Streptophyta; Magnoliopsida; Fabales; Fabaceae.